This 699-nucleotide ribosomal RNA is filed under the name uncultured Hyphomonas sp. Its description in RNAcentral is "bacterial SSU rRNA". It matches the Rfam family "Bacterial small subunit ribosomal RNA", at positions 94 to 828 of the family's 1533-position model. Lineage: Bacteria; Pseudomonadati; Pseudomonadota; Alphaproteobacteria; Hyphomonadales; Hyphomonadaceae. The record is from RNAcentral.
AGUGGCAGACGGGUGAGUAACGCGUGGGAACGUACCUUUCGCUACGGAAUAGCUCCGGGAAACUGGUGGUAAUACCGUAUACGCCCUCAGGGGGAAAGAUUUAUCGGCGAAAGAUCGGCCCGCGUUGGAUUAGCUAGUUGGUGAGGUAAUGGCUCACAAAGGCGACGAUCCAUAGCUGGUCUGAGAGGAUGAUCAGCCACACUGGGACUGAGACACGGCCCAGACUCCUACGGGAGGCAGCAGUGGGGAAUCUUGCACAAUGGGCGAAAGCCUGAUGCAGCCAUGCCGCGUGAAUGAUGAAGGCCUUAGGGUUGUAAAAUUCUUUCGUCAGGGAUGAUAAUGACCGUACCUGAAGAAGAAGCCCCGGCUAACUUCGUGCCAGCAGCCGCGGUAAUACGAAGGGGGCUAGCGUUGUUCGGAAUUACUGGGCGUAAAGCGCACGUAGGCGGACUUUUAAGUCAGGUGUGAAAUCCCGGGGCUCAACCUCGGAACUGCAUUUGAAACUGGAAGUCUUGAGACCAGGAGAGGUUAGCGGAAUACCGAGUGUAGAGGUGAAAUUCGUAGAUAUUCGGUGGAACACCAGUGGCGAAGGCGGCUAACUGGACUGGUACUGACGCUGAGGUGCGAAAGUGUGGGGAGCAAACAGGAUUAGAUACCCUGGUAGUCCACACCGUAAACGAUGAGAGCUAGUUGUUGGCA